UGGUGGAGUGAUUUGUCUGGUUAAUUCCGUUAACGAACGAGACCUCAGCCUACUAGUUAAAGAUGCUUACGUUUGUAAGCAUCUAUUACAUAGAGGGACUAUCGGUGUUUAUCCGAGGGAAGUAUGAGGCAAUAACA
RNAcentral lists this ribosomal RNA (137 nucleotides) under uncultured eukaryote. RNAcentral's name for it is "partial 18S ribosomal RNA". It matches the Rfam family "Eukaryotic small subunit ribosomal RNA", at positions 1299 to 1458 of the family's 1831-position model. The record is from RNAcentral.